This 446-nucleotide ribosomal RNA is filed under the name uncultured bacterium. RNAcentral describes it as "partial 16S ribosomal RNA". It matches the Rfam family "Bacterial small subunit ribosomal RNA", at positions 338 to 795 of the family's 1533-position model. The record is from RNAcentral.
CCUACGGGAGGCAGCAGUCGAGAAUCAUUCACAAUGGGGGAAACCCUGAUGGUGCGACGCCGCGUGGGGGAAUGAAGGUCUUCGGAUUGUAAACCCCUGUCAUGUGGGAGCAAAUUAAAAAGAUAGUACCACAAGAGGAAGAGACGGCUAACUCUGUGCCAGCAGCUGCGGUAAUACAGAGGUGUCAAGCGUUGUUCGGAAUCACUGGGCGUAAAGCGUGCGUAGGCGGGUUCGUAAGUAGUGUGUGAAAGGCGAGGGCUCAACCCGCGGACGGCACAUGAUACUGCGAGACUAGAGUAAUGGAGAGGUAACCGGAAUUCUCGGUGUAGCAGUGAAAUGCGUAGAUAUCGAGAGGAACCCUCGUGGCGAAGGCAGGUUCCUGGACAUUAACUGACGCUGAGGCACGAAGGCCAGGGGAGCGAAAGGGAUUAGAUACCCUUGUAGUC